AUCAUUUUUAAAAAGUAAAUUGAAAUUCUCAUUGGAAAAUUUAUCAUUUCCAAUACUUUUUCAGAAGUAUCACUUCUUGCCAGGCAUGGUGGUGCAUGCCUGAAAUCCCAGCAGCUCGAGAGGCUGAGACAGAGUUCAAAGCCAGCCUCAGGAAUGCCAAGGUGCUAAGCCAACUCAGUGAGACCCUAUCUCUAAGUAAAAUACAAAAAAUAGGGCUGGGGAAUGUGGCUGGUCGAAUGCCCCUAAGUUCAAUCCCUGGUACAAAAAAAAAAAAAAUCUUAUGUAAUUACGGGCAGGACUAUCCAUAAAUAUGCUUACCUUCUAUGAAAAUAGUAAAGUUAUUUUGAAUGUACUAUAUGUAACCACAACUUGUAAAUCAGGAUGAGGGACUUACUGCUCAUUGACAGAUACCUCUUUAUGACUAUAUAUAACACAAGUAUUUUUUGC
This 447-nucleotide long non-coding RNA is filed under the name Marmota monax (woodchuck). Lineage: Eukaryota; Metazoa; Chordata; Mammalia; Rodentia; Sciuridae. The record is from RNAcentral.